This 756-nucleotide ribosomal RNA is filed under the name Methanolobus sp. enrichment culture clone A3-42. RNAcentral describes it as "bacterial SSU rRNA". It matches the Rfam family "Archaeal small subunit ribosomal RNA", at positions 102 to 859 of the family's 1478-position model. The record is from RNAcentral. Lineage: Archaea; Methanobacteriati; Methanobacteriota; Methanomicrobia; Methanosarcinales; Methanosarcinaceae.
GGACAACCUGCCCUAAGGUCUGGAAUAACCCCGGGAAACUGGGGAUAAUACCGGAUAAAUCAUAGAUGCUGGAAUGCUCUGUGAUUAAAAGCUCCGGCGCCUUAGGAUGGAUCUGCGGCCUAUCAGGUAGUAGUGGGUGUAAUGUACCUACUAGCCGACGACGGGUACGGGUUGUGAGAGCAAGAGCCCGGAGAUGGAUUCUGAGACAUGAAUCCAGGCCCUACGGGGCGCAGCAGGCGCGAAAACUUUACAAUGCGGGAAACCGCGAUAAGGGGACACUGAGUGCCAGCACCAUGUGUUGGCUGUCCGCAUGUAUAAAUAACAUGUGUUAGCAAGGGCCGGGCAAGACCGGUGCCAGCCGCCGCGGUAACACCGGCGGCCCGAGUGGUGGCCAUUAUUAUUGGGUCUAAAGGGUCCGUAGCCGGUUUGAUCAGUCUUCCGGGAAAUCUGACAGCUCAACUGUUAGGCUUCUGGGGGAUACUGUCAGACUUGGAACCGGGAGAGGUAAGAGGUACUACAGGGGUAGGAGUGAAAUCUUGUAAUCCUUGUGGGACCACCAGUGGCGAAGGCGUCUUACCAGAACGGGUUCGACGGUGAGGGACGAAAGCUGGGGGCACGAACCGGAUUAGAUACCCGGGUAGUCCCAGCCGUAAACGAUGCUCGCUAGGUGUCUGGGACGGUGCGACCGUUUCAGGUGCCGCAGGGAAGCCGUGAAGCGAGCCACCUGGGAAGUACGGCCGCAAGGCUGAAACUUAA